CAGUAGCCGCGGUAAUACGGAGGGGGCUAGCGUUGUUCGGAAUUACUGGGCGUAAAGCGCACGUAGGCGGCUUGGUAAGUUAGAGGUGAAAGCCCGGAGCUCAACUCCGGAAUUGCCUUUGAGACUGCCGAGCUAGUAGGUGAGAGAGGUAAGUGGAAUUCCGAGUGUAGAGGUGAAAUUCGUAGAUAUUCGGAAGAACACCAGUGGCGAAGGCGGCUUACUGGACCAUAACUGACGCUGAGGCACGAAAGCUAGGGGAGCAAACAGGAUUAGAUACCCCCGUAGUCCCUGUCUCUUAUAC
This 301-nucleotide ribosomal RNA is filed under the name uncultured bacterium. RNAcentral's name for it is "partial 16S ribosomal RNA". It matches the Rfam family "Bacterial small subunit ribosomal RNA", at positions 509 to 807 of the family's 1533-position model. The record is from RNAcentral.